CCUACGGGGUGCAGCAGUGAGGAAUAUUGGUCAAUGGACGAGAGUCUGAACCAGCCAAGUAGCGUGAAGGAUGACUGCCCUAUGGGUUGUAAACUUCUUUUAUAUGGGAAUAAAAUGUUCCACGUGUGGGAUUUUGUAUGUACCAUAUGAAUAAGGAUCGGCUAACUCCGUGCCAGCAGCCGCGGUAAUACGGAGGAUCCGAGCGUUAUCCGGAUUUAUUGGGUUUAAAGGGAGCGUAGGUGGAUUGUUAAGUCAGUUGUGAAAGUUUGCGGCUCAAUCGUAAAAUUGCAGUUGAAACUGGCAGUCUUGAGUACAGUAGAGGUGGGCGGAAUUCGUGGUGUAGCGGUGAAAUGCUUAGAUAUCACGAAGAACUCCGAUUGCGAAGGCAGUUCACUGGACUGCAACUGACACUGAGGCUCGAAAGUGUGGGUAUCAAACAGGAUUAGAUACCCUAGUAGUC
Molecule: ribosomal RNA, 460 nt
Filed under: uncultured bacterium
Lineage: Bacteria
Description: partial 16S ribosomal RNA
Rfam family: Bacterial small subunit ribosomal RNA
Source: RNAcentral